ACAUGGUAAAUAUGUCAAAUUGAUGAACAAAGCGUGAGCAGGAAGGAGGUGCGUGAACGAGGCUGAAACGAUUUGAGUGAGCUGGUGGCACUAUAUAACCUACAAUCGUUGGCAUUUGAUUGAAAAAGGAUUGACAAAAUGAACAGUGGAAUACACUUGUCUAUAUUUAUUUUCGGUUUGGUUGUCGGAACAAUAAAUGGGAUCGUAAUAAUCGACAAAAUAGCAGACGAUCUGGGAGGAUCAAUGGAAAGCACUGAUUCAAAUUCAGUGUACUCUGGUGCGAUUCGCGUACGUCGAUCAGUAGUAAUUUGUUGCCGUCUUUCAUUGGUUUGUUGUUUUUCACAAACGAGAUAAUAAACACGCAGGUGUCUCAAUGAAACUGUUUAGUAGUAAUUUACUUUGUACUACUCCUAUAUAACAUUUGGUACCAUCUCAUUUGAACCCACGUACAUUUGAACCCGCAACAAUUGCACCUAUGGAAUUUUUUGUUUUACGGAUAUUUGAACCCAUACUAACCCUAACCCAUGGGUUUUGUCACCCGCACAUAGAUUGAACCCACGGAUAUACACAUGGGUUCAAAUGUACGGUCACCAUAACAUCAUCAUUUUUGAGAGAGUCCACAAGAUUUAAAAACGCUUUAAGGGUUCAUGAUAGAUUCAUUCUGUUAUGUUUUAAUCCCAAACAUAGCAAAGACGAAAUUAUAAAAAAACGUCAAUAUUAUAGCUUGAUAGAGUCUAAUUCGACAACGUAAAUCUUCACCGUUAAUAUAGGUCUACUCCGAAUAUUUAUUCAAACAUGAAAUAAAUAAUUAUUACAUAAACCUGACAAUAUGUAUCGCACCGAACCUACAAGUUUAUUCGUUGCUUUACAUCAGCUAAGCUACUCCCAUAAGAUUGAUUUUCUUGUCGUUGGUGACAAUGAAGAACACAUAAAUCUCAUAUGCGAUCAGAAGUCAUCGCUGAGCGCAGCCAUGUCUUGGCCUGUUUCAUGCAUGAAAGAGAUCACAGCGUAUAGGCACGGCGUAUCAGGUAUAGUUGCAAUACAAUAUUAUUAUCAACUUCCAAAAUCCAGUUAUUACACCAAUUUCAACUACUAAGACUUGUAAUUACCAAAGUAAUUAUACUCUGAUACCAAUGACAUUUGAGCAAAUUCGUUGACGCGUUCUCAUGGCCAGCUGAAGAACCACAAAGCGAUGGGUUGAAGAAUCCAUUCGUUUUGAUUCCUAUUAUUAUCAGUGUAUAUUUCCAACAUUUUUCACUUCCAUUUUUAAAAAGAAAAAGAGAGUUCAACUGAAA
Long non-coding RNA from Styela clava, 1295 nucleotides. RefSeq lists it as uncharacterized. Lineage: Eukaryota; Metazoa; Chordata; Ascidiacea; Stolidobranchia; Styelidae. The record is from RefSeq and is a predicted model, not a curated record.